RNAcentral lists this ribosomal RNA (253 nucleotides) under uncultured bacterium. Its description in RNAcentral is "partial 16S ribosomal RNA". It matches the Rfam family "Bacterial small subunit ribosomal RNA", at positions 524 to 776 of the family's 1533-position model. The record is from RNAcentral.
UACGGAGGGAGCUAGCGUUGUUCGGAAUUACUGGGCGUAAAGCGCACGUAGGCGGCCAUUCAAGUCAGGGGUGAAAUCCCGGGGCUCAACCCCGGAACUGCCCUUGAAACUGGAUAGCUAGAAUCCUGGAGAGGCGAGUGGAAUUCCGAGAGUAGAGGUGAAAUUCGUAGAUAUUCGGAAGAACACCAGUGGCGAAGGCGACUCGCUGGACAGGUAUUGACGCUGAGGUGCGAAAGCGUGGGGAGCAAACAGG